This is a long non-coding RNA of Ictalurus furcatus (blue catfish), 703 nucleotides long. RefSeq lists it as uncharacterized. Lineage: Eukaryota; Metazoa; Chordata; Actinopteri; Siluriformes; Ictaluridae. The transcript is spliced from 3 exons. The record is from RefSeq and is a predicted model, not a curated record.
ACCUACAUCACGCUGUACGCGUGACAUGAGCACUCUAUUAGCUCACAGGGAAGAGAGAGAACAACAGACGAAAGAAAAAUGGUUGCAGUUCUGGUAAUAGGAUAAGACAGGAUAGAUGGACUGUCAAUUCUGGACUGUGAGUUGCACUGGGUUUGAAUUUGAUGUAGCAGCUUCUUUUCGAACCAGCUGAAAGGAAAUCGGUGCAACAUUUGGAUAUUUGCAAUAUAAUCCAGCCAUCAAGAUGCAGUGGAAAAUUCCAGAAAAUGAAUCGUUCAGGUCUGCAUACCCAACCCAGCAUGCUGCGGGUUCCCCAUUGCCAUCCCUAAUUUGGGUCAUGUUGACAUAGCUAUCAGACUCAACAAGCUAAACCCAGCAAUGAUGGAGAACUGGCCCUGCAGAGACUGAGCGAAUAUAGUGCCAGUGCCACUGUCAAUGCGCCCGAUCCACUCCAGUCCUUUUCCUGGUUUCUGACGGAUCCAGUGGAGCCAGCUAAGCGAGAGUCCGGACACGGUGCAGGACAGAGUGACGGAUUCUCCAGGUUUCUUCACCACAGAAGCAGAGGAGGUCAGGGACUGUCCAUAAGAAUCUGAAAAAAAAAGAUUAUGAAUAAACAAUAUAAUGCUCUGAGACAGAAAAUAUGCUAAUUUCUAGUGAUGAUCAUGUGGAAAUCUCUGGAACGUACAUGAAAUUAGCACAGAUAAAA